Kogia breviceps (pygmy sperm whale) is the source of this 1186-nucleotide non-coding RNA. The record is from RefSeq and is a predicted model, not a curated record. NCBI's taxonomy places the organism in Eukaryota, Metazoa, Chordata, Mammalia, Artiodactyla, Physeteridae.
UGGGGCAGUGGGGGCCCCGGCUCCUCCUGGGAGGGUCGGGCUCUGUCGGGCCAUGCGCGCUCAGGCGGCCGCCCUAGUCUGCUGUCCCGUCUCCUGUUCCCUCUCCGGUCCCUCACCUGUGGCUCAGCUGUCCCUCACCUGUCCUAUCUCCUGUCCUUCUGCUGUGCCCUCAGCUGUCCCCUCAGCCCCCCUCAGUUCCCCCAGACGCCCCUAGCCUCGGAACGGGCGCAUGGCUGUGCCCUGCGGCUGCAGGUGGCCGAGGGGACGAGGCGCAGCUGUUCCUGAGGCGAGUGGGUGACCGCAGAGCAGGAGUGCUGUCCCGCCUGGCAGCCUGGACGCCGGCCCUCCUCCUGGAUGGGUACAGACCCAGGAGGGGAAACUGCUGAGUUCUAUGUUUCAUGGGCUGCAACAGUGUGACUGCAGUUGGCUGACUGGACUGAAACAGCAGCACCAAAACCUGAAAAAGUGUCAUCGGUGAUGAGGCUCCACCAAUAAAACGCCUGGGAGGGGUCAGAGGUCAGGCUGCCAGGAGCGACCAGAGCAGCUCCGGGCAGGAGUCACCAGUCCAGAACCCAGUGGCAGCCUCUGCAGAGGUGGAGCCCUUCACUUUGUGCCUUUUCUGUGACGGUGGCUGCAUUGUCACGUCUGAUGUGAUGGUGGAUCCGGGCAGGAGGAUGGUAGCACCCAGGGCAGCGCAUGCUCAGCUAGCAGUUUCGUUCCAGCGUGUCCCAUCAGAGAAGGGUCCUUUUUGUGGACAUCCACGUGAGGGCCCCGGAAAGUGCAGUCAGCAGUUGUCAUUUGUUUCCACAGUUCACGGCCCCAAGGGGGGCGUCUUUAACGCUACUCUAGUUUUCAUAAUGGCAGACCUGGUAGCUAGGCCACUGGCAAAGCCCAGGGGUCAGUAAGCACAGAGCACGGUUAAUCAAGGCAGGCAUUGGCCAGAGCCCUGAGAGGGGCCUGGGUUCUGGCCUCCGGGUGCAGGGGCCGUGUCUGCUUUUGGUGUUGCAGGGCUGGCACUGCAGUCCAGUGGAAAUCAGUGAGCUUUCGCUUAGUCAAAGCAGGCUCAGCAUUUAGGGCCAUCUGUGAAUUGAGGGCUCCAGUGAGCCAGUGCAAUGACUCGCCUGGCUCGGCGGUGGGCAAAGCUUUCCCUGGAGAGGUAGCUGCUGCUUUCUCAGGUAGGGCCCAG